Molecule: ribosomal RNA, 253 nt
Filed under: uncultured bacterium
Lineage: Bacteria
Description: partial 16S ribosomal RNA
Rfam family: Bacterial small subunit ribosomal RNA
Source: RNAcentral
UACGAAGGGGGCAAGCGUUGUUCGGAAUUACUGGGCGUAAAGGGCGCGUAGGCGGAUUUGCAAGUCAGAGGUGAAAGCCCUGGGCUCAACCCGGGAAUGGCCUUUGAGACUGCAAGUCUUGAGUGCGAGAGAGGGUGGCGGAAUACCCAGUGUAGAGGUGAAAUUCGUAGAUAUUGGGUAGAACACCAGUGGCGAAGGCGGCCACCUGGCUCGCAACUGACGCUGAGGCGCGAAAGCGUGGGGAGCAAACAGG